UACGUAGGGUGCGAGCGUUGUCCGGAAUUAUUGGGCGUAAAGGGCUCGUAGGCGGUUUGUCGCGUCAGGGGUGAAAACUCGGGGCUUAACCCCGAGCCUGCUUCUGAUACGGGCAGACUAGAGGUAUGCAGGGGAGAACGGAAUUCCUGGUGUAGCGGUGAAAUGCGCAGAUAUCAGGAGGAACACCGGUGGCGAAGGCGGUUCUCUGGGCAUUACCUGACGCUGAGGAGCGAAAGUGUGGGGAGCGAACAGG
This 253-nucleotide ribosomal RNA is filed under the name uncultured bacterium. RNAcentral's name for it is "partial 16S ribosomal RNA". It matches the Rfam family "Bacterial small subunit ribosomal RNA", at positions 524 to 776 of the family's 1533-position model. The record is from RNAcentral.